GCGGGAGUCGCCCAGCCUGGCCAAAGGCGUAGGGCUUAGGACCCUAUCUCUUAGGAGUUCGUGGGUUCGAAUCCCACCUCCCGCA
This 85-nucleotide transfer RNA is filed under the name Candidatus Nitrosopumilus sp. RNAcentral describes it as "Nitrosopumilus sp. tRNA-Leu". It matches the Rfam family "tRNA". From Rfam's summary of the family: Transfer RNA (tRNA) molecules are approximately 80 nucleotides in length. Their secondary structure includes four short double-helical elements and three loops (D, anti-codon, and T loops). The record is from RNAcentral. RNAcentral also lists the same sequence under 5 other names. Lineage: Archaea; Thermoproteati; Nitrososphaerota; Nitrososphaeria; Nitrosopumilales; Nitrosopumilaceae.